This is an RNA transcript of Tachyglossus aculeatus (Australian echidna), 2614 nucleotides long. RefSeq lists it as uncharacterized. The record is from RefSeq and is a predicted model, not a curated record. NCBI's taxonomy places the organism in Eukaryota, Metazoa, Chordata, Mammalia, Monotremata, Tachyglossidae. The transcript is spliced from 4 exons.
UGGCCUGAGGGUGCCCUUGGCUCAUCCGGGGCCAGCCUGCUGGCUGCCCAGCUGGCAGUUCCGCUUGGCUCCAGGCCCUGGGGCUGAUUUGCCGGUGAGAAAAGAAUGGCCAGCAGUCAGCUCUAGCCUGCCACUGCUGCUGCCGCCAAGUCCCAGGGAGACGGGAGGGCAAGGCUCAGGCUGGCAAGACCCAUUCUGAGCCUCAGAGAAGCCACCCCCACUGCCUGCCUCCCGCCCACUCGGCUCGGCAGCACAGAGUGCUAUUGAUAAGAGCAGAGGAAGGUCACCCUCUGGGCAAAGCGGCCUCUUUCCCCAGAGUGAUGCUGUACCGCCCUGCCUGCCUCCCUCCCUCCCCAGAUGGAGGGAACUGGCUCUGGUUCAUUCUGGUCUAUCGUGGAUUUGGUGGCCCCUGCCCCCCAGGGAAGGCGUGUCACAGGGCCCAGCUCUAUCUUCUAGGGGCAAAGGGAGCACAGAGAACCAGUAGGGGGUCUUGGGCGGGGCAGCCUGCUCCAGUGGGACAAGCCCCAGGUUAGUAUCAGCUCUGUCUCCAUCCUGCUGGGGGACCUCUAGGCGAGUCACUUAUCCUUUCUGGGCCUCAGUUUCCUCAUAUGCAUUUCACGGAGAUGUGAGAAUAAAAUGAAAUAGUUGAGGUGAAAGCAUUCUGGAAAGAUUAAAAUGUGCUCUAUGGCAUUAAGUGCCUAUCACCAAAAAUUCAGAAUCAUUUUGGCAUGUCUCAGGCACAGUGCUCCCAAAACCCUUAAGUAUUAACAAUCAGUUGAAAUCUCCUCCGAUUGUAAUUUUUUAAAUUCCUCAUUCUGUAUUUGUAGUAUUUUUUGACUACCAUUCCCCUUUAUUUUUUAAAAAUGUCUAGAUCAUUUUGGAUGCCAAAUCAGAUUUCUGUGCCUCCGAGCACCUCGGGGAGGAGCUGGAUUAUACCGGCAGAUCCAUUAAACUUAACUGUUGCCUUUCAGAAGGGAAUGAGUAUUGGCUUUUAAAUCACCUCACAAAGGCCGUGUUGCAUUGAAGGGUGAGAAAUCAGAAAUUCCUGUUAGGCUGUAACUUCUGGAAGGUAGGCUCUGAGGAGAACUAGCAUCAGAAGACAGGUGUGGAAUUUUCUCUCAACUAGAGUGCUACUAAGACUCACGCUUAGAUCUCAGGUUGGAACUGAGGAGGGCCUUGACCCAGAACCUUCUUCCCACCCAGGUUAAAAUCACGCUGGAGGCUUAAACUUCCCGAACUCUCUGGAAUGACAAGUGCUGCCCGGAGCCAGGUGAUUCUCAUCCCUCCAGAUCUUCUGCCAUCCAGCACCUCCACUAGAGAACAGGGGUGAAGAAGGUAAAAAUGAUGGCAGCUCACUCUACCCACCACCUGAACUCUAGGAAAUUAAAAGCUUGUUUUGCUUUGAACCCCCAGCCACCUUGAAAUAAUCAGACUGUUUCUGGAGGCCCAAGUUUACAGGUCUGUAGAACUUCUCAACAUUAUCUUUAGGCUGCAGGCUUUCAGAUAAGCACUAGAGCAUAACAGCAGGAACUACUCAGAAGUUCAGAUGUUUCCACAAUAGGACAUCAUAGCUGGAAGGGGAGAUUUUUUCCUGGACCCCCAAUUCUCUAUCUGGGAGGAAGGAAGGAAGGAGGCAGAUUCUCUGUUCUUCAGAAAGAGGGGACAGCGCUGCACAAGGCAAAAGUCAGGUCUGUAGGCUCUCUAUCUCUCUCUCUCUCAUGAUGGGUACUCACAUUCCCAAGCUCCUAGAACACUGAAGACUGAAGAGGUCAAAUCUUUCCCCCUUCAUAAUGAAGGCAGAAUUAUCGCUGUUCGUCACUAAACCAUAUCAGUACAGGCUAGGGCUCUUAGCUCAACAUUUAACUCUGCCAGCUUCAAAAGACAACAAAAUAAAAUGUAUAAUGAAUUGUUAUAACUUGCAACUGUAUCCCUCUGAAUCAUCUAAAAAUGCUGACACACUUUUCUGUCAGUCAGCCCUACGGGAAUGAGACUCUCCUAAUACUUGUCUCUCCAGGAAAUUUGAGGAGGAUCUGGAAUCUCGGGGAGGGGAAGGAGAGAGGAGGUGAGAGAAUGAGGUGGAGGGGGGGAGGUGAGUUAACAUUGGUAAGCAGCUCUUAACUUUGUGACAGUAGUGGUUCCAGGGGUGAUGGGAGUGGUACUUCUCCAAUGGGGAUGGAGCUACUAAGGGUCUUUCUUCCUGUGAAUACCUCAGUCUACUUAGGGCUCAAUAAAUUGCCUGAACUUUUAACCCCCUGCGUGGGUGUGACCUUGAAGUAUGAUGGCUAUUAGCUCUAACAACUCUUUCCCAGAGGUUGCUUGUCAAGCCUCGGAGGCCCUCUCGAGGAUGCCAACCCUUCAGGUAAGGUACCACCCUAAGCCAGAUGGCUCUGUGCCAUGUCAAGCCCUUAUUGUUUCCCCGUUUCUCUCCCUUCACAAAGCCUUUAAAUCUGCCAUCGACUCAUUCAUCUCUCAUGCCCUGCCUGAAACCUUCUGAACAACCAUUCUUUUCCCUCUUUGUCCUGUCAACUGCUGUAGGUACAGAGGUGGGGGUGCUGAAAAAUACCAGCAGCAGGAUUGGGCUUCCUACCUAUAAAGACAGUAGGCAGCACUACCA